Molecule: ribosomal RNA, 755 nt
Filed under: uncultured Bacteroidota bacterium
Lineage: Bacteria; Pseudomonadati; Bacteroidota
Description: bacterial SSU rRNA
Rfam family: Bacterial small subunit ribosomal RNA
Source: RNAcentral
AACGAUGGCGACCGGCGCACGGGUGAGUAACGCGUAUCGAACCUGCCUCAUACUCGGGAAUAGCCUUGCGAAAGUAAGAUUAAUGCCCGAUGUUCUUCAUUUUUCACAUGAGAGAUGAAGCAAAGAUUUAUCGGUAUGAGAUGGCGAUGCGUCCCAUUAGCUCGUUGGCGGGGUAACGGCCCACCAAGGCAUCGAUGGGUAGGGGUUCUGAGAGGAAGGUCCCCCACAUUGGAACUGAGACACGGUCCAAACUCCUACGGGAGGCAGCAGUGAGGAAUAUUGGUCAAUGGACGAAAGUCUGAACCAGCCAAGUAGCGUGCAGGAUGACGGCCCUCUGGGUUGUAAACUGCUUUUAGUUGGGAAUAAAGUGCACCACGUGUGGUGUUUUGUAUGUACCAUCAGAAAAAGGACCGGCUAAUUCCGUGCCAGCAGCCGCGGUAAUACGGAAGGUCCAGGCGUUAUCCGGAUUUAUUGGGUUUAAAGGGAGCGCAGGCGGACCUUUAAGUCAGCUGUGAAAUACGGCGGCUCAACCGGCGAACUGCAGUUGAUACUGGAGGUCUUGAGUGCACACAGGGAUACUGGAAUUCAUGGUGUAGCGGUGAAAUGCUCAGAUAUCAUGAAGAACUCCAAUCGCGAAGGCAGGUAUCCGGGGUGCAACUGACGCUGAGGCUCGAAAGUGCGGGUAUCAAACAGGAUUAGAUACCCUGGUAGUCCGCACAGUAAACGAUGAAUACUCGGGAUUUGUGUUACACUGU